GUACAGAUAGCUUGUUCGAUGCAGGGUACCCAGGGGCUCUCACUCUUGGUGAUGUAGUUUGUGGAAUGGCAGCUGUGAGAAUAACUUCCAAGGACAUGCUAUUUUGGUUUCGGUCCCAAACUGCUGCAGAAAUUCGAUGGGGUGGAGCAAAACAUGAACCUGGUGAGAAGGAUGAUGGCAGGAAAAUGCACCCGAGAUCUUCCUUCAAGGCCUUCCUUGAAGUUGUCAAGACAAGGAGUUUGCCUUGGAAGGACUAUGAAAUGGACGCAAUUCAUUCUCUGCAGCUUAUACUGAGGAAUACUUUCAAGGAG
Molecule: unclassified non-coding RNA, 311 nt
Filed under: Hevea brasiliensis (rubber tree)
Lineage: Eukaryota; Viridiplantae; Streptophyta; Magnoliopsida; Malpighiales; Euphorbiaceae
Source: RNAcentral